Pseudophryne corroboree (corroboree frog) is the source of this 396-nucleotide long non-coding RNA. RefSeq lists it as uncharacterized. The transcript has 3 exons. NCBI's taxonomy places the organism in Eukaryota, Metazoa, Chordata, Amphibia, Anura, Myobatrachidae. The record is from RefSeq and is a predicted model, not a curated record.
GCCAGAAGACCAUGAGACUCUGCAUACCCUUCAUGACUUACUCUGAAGUAGAAUGGACUGAAUUGUAAAAUAGAAAAGACUAAUGAAGCAGUACUUCUAAAGCAGUGGAGUGAUGUAUUUAUCAGGAAACACACUUAGUGGCCGCUGAAAUGCUAAAGCUUAACGCCUUGAAGUGGAAGGUCCUCGCAUCCUCCCCUUUUACUUCCAAGACCAGAGGGGUGGCGAUAUUGGUCAGAACUACUGUCCCAAUUACACUCACAUCUGUGAUUGAUGACCCUGAAGGUGCUGGGACCCGGCUGGCGACGGGGACCAAGGCAGCGCGUGAGACGGAGGGGAUGAAGCAGCACGGCCAGGAGCAGUCCCCUCCACCUGCCCAGGUAGGAGCUGCCGUUGGUU